RNAcentral lists this transfer RNA (72 nucleotides) under Camelus bactrianus (Bactrian camel). It matches the Rfam family "tRNA". From Rfam's summary of the family: Transfer RNA (tRNA) molecules are approximately 80 nucleotides in length. Their secondary structure includes four short double-helical elements and three loops (D, anti-codon, and T loops). Further hydrogen bonds mediate the characteristic L-shaped molecular structure. tRNAs have two regions of fundamental functional importance: the anti-codon, which is responsible for specific mRNA codon recognition, and the 3' end, to which the tRNAs corresponding amino acid is attached (by aminoacyl-tRNA synthetases). tRNAs cope with the degeneracy of the genetic code in two manners: having more than one tRNA (with a specific anti-codon) for a particular amino acid; and 'wobble' base-pairing, i.e. permitting non-standard base-pairing at the 3rd anti-codon position. RNAcentral also lists the same sequence under 2 other names. Lineage: Eukaryota; Metazoa; Chordata; Mammalia; Artiodactyla; Camelidae. The record is from Rfam by way of RNAcentral.
GAGGGCGUAGCUCAGUAUAGAGCAUAGUGCUUAGCAUGCACAAGGUCCUGGGUUCAAUCCCCGGUACCUCCA